UGCGUGCCGUCGUGGUCUUCUUCGUUCAGAUAGACGGCAAGGAGGCGGAGGAGGAAGCCUCUCCCGAGCUCCUCUGCGUGGAGUCCGCGACCGAGCCCCUCUCCAUUAUCCUCUUGCUUGAGGCCUCCAAAGUCGCCACAGCCCAAUCCGCCCGCCUGCUUCGUCCUCCCCAAUCCCCUCCUUGUGCGCACCACACUGCCGCCGCGAGGACCGAUUGGAGCUGACUGGAGCGGAGCAGGCCAGUGCCGUGGGUCGGGUCGUCGGCGGGAGAGCAGCUGCGUUGCAUCUCUCCCUCACUUGCUCUGGGAGGUCACCAGGAGGGUUGCGGCAUCUCCAUCCCCGGAGGAUUACAGUCUACCUCUCGCAGGUUGUUGUGCCUCUCCCUCCUCCAGGCUUCACCCCAAUGUUUGUCUUGUCUUCUAUCCUGAUGUUGCUGCGUGUAUGGCCGCUCCUCUUCAUCUCCCCUUUCCAUAAUCGACCUUGUCAUUGCAACCGUUUGAAGUUAUAUGAACUCUUUAUUUUCUUCCCCUGCCUUACACUGAACUACACAUGCAGAAAUUGCUUUAGUUAUAAACUAUGCAGAUUCCAUGUAUAUAUGCCUACAAGGUGUUUGACAAUAUUCCUAGCAGGUUGUUCCCAUAUUGUGUUUCUUAUUCUUUUGAUUUUUUAUGUUGCGAGGAGAUAAAGAAUCAAAACUGAGUUGUUUGGUCAACCAACUUAAGUACUGGUUAGUAAAUCUAUGGGCCUAUAUUUUGCCUUUGAUUUUAGUUAGAGUAGAGUUACAUCACUCCAUUGAGAUAUUUGUUGUAUGUUGUCUGACACAUUGUACCUGUCUCGUCCUCGCCGCUCAGCCCGAGGAGCACACGCUCCUUCUGUGCUCGGCACCAGCGACUUCGCGAUCUUCCUCGAUGCAACGCAAGAAGAGCACACUCCCGAGAGGGGCAUCCAUGGCGCUGGUUCCGUCGACCUGUUCCCAGCUAUUCUGGUCCUCCCCAUUGCCGUCGCCCUGUUUGUCCCUCUCCAUGAGCUCGCGCCACUAAGCAGCCGCGACACCACAUGAAACCGUCAGGGUGUGUUCGGUGUGCUCCUGGUGGCUGCAGAACUAUGUGUACCCGAGAGUUGUCCUUGGACGUUGACUGGGUCACGACAACACUCUUUGGUUUGCAUGAAUGGAAAUAUGGAACAUGUAGAUACAGUGCGGAAAUCUGGAAGAUGAUGCUCAUGUGCUUUUGCCUUCUAUAUCUGAGGGUAAGAACUAAAGAGAAGAGUCAAUGUUGUUGUUGAGGAUCUCAGUGGUCCCUGGAUUUGGUGUUGUUGAGAUAAAGAGAAGGAUCUGAAGAUACAACCCCUUCUAAUAGUUUAUUGUCUGCAGGGCAUGGUUUGGCUGAUUUGAUAAUGCCCAUUCGAUCCUUCUUCUAUAUGUAAAUUGCUAAAUUAGGUUUGGGUGAUCUGAGAAUGGCCAUUUGGUCCUUCUGCAAGUAAAUGGGCUGAGUUAGGUAAGCUUCAGUAUUAAUCUCUGUUUCUUUCAUGUUUUUCUCCCACUCGAUAUUGUGCCUCUUUUCAUGCUACAACAUUUAUGCAUGUUUCGUUUGGUAAAUAUCCCGCUCCUGUCUGUUGUUUAUUUGGGUAAAUAUCCCGUGGCGAUCACCUUUUCCUUUGAAAAUAUGUGAAAGCCACAUAUAGAAAUUUCGAAAAAAUCUACCCAGCACACAGUAUGUUGUGAGGUGGUGUUUAACAGAAACGAAUACUAACAAAUAGCAAAAGAACUAUUCAUGCUGAUUUUCUUGUAGCUUCCAAAUGCAAUUCAGUAUGAACUUGCGCCAUGUAAUGGUUUUCGUCUUGCCGGUAAUUUUCGGUCCAGUGUUCCGAUUCAGCUCGGGGAUUUUACAUGUUCUUCGGAAUAUAUAUGUACAUUCGCUAGCAAAUAUAACCUACACCGAAUCCUUUAUUUUGGGUCAUGGUUGCAGUCAGUAUGGAUGUGCGGAAUAUAUUAUUUUAUUCUUCAAGUCAAGAUAAUUCUCAUGUAGUAUGGCUUCUAAUUCAGUUAACACUUGCUGAUGCUUUGCUCCGUUGUAUCAGCCAGCACCUCCUAAUGCUUUGAUCUGCAAUCUCGGUUAACGCUUUGCUGCUGUGCUAACUUCAGCUAACACUAUACUGUUUAAUCUCACUUCACCUUUGCUCCAAAUUCUGCACAAGAAAAGGAACAGUCACUGCUUGCCGUUUCGGCUAGCGUUUGGUACCACCUUGGUCUGCAAUCAAUGGUUUUAGUAAAACUUUCUUGUCGGUCCUGUUUUUUAGCUGCAUCCUGUGACUGUGCAGGAGAUUGAGUGCAUUGUAUGUUGCUUCUAUGUAUCUUCUCUUAAUUAUAUACAAUGCCUAUGUUUAGCUGAUGUUCAAAUUGGCAAAUUCAUUUUGUUACUAUAGUUUCACAUGGUCUAAGAGUAGUUUGUAUUGCUAGCCUAGCUUUUAUAGUUGUAUCUAUCCAAACCAUUGGCAUGCUACUGCUGGUUCAGUUGCUGCUCCAUCUAAAUUCACGUUACAGUUAGUCGUAUUCUUCGUCAAUGAGAUGAUCUUCUUGUAUUCAACAAUUUCUUUAACACUCGUGCUUCCUUCCAUUGUUUAUGCCAGGCUUACCCAUUAUUCACUUUGUACCAGCAUCUUCAUGGAGUCUCUCUCAGUUCGGAUCCACUCUCUGCUAAUCAUUCAUGUCUAUGGUAGACCAUGCUUUCUAUCAGUGAAAUAUCCAGAUAUUGAUUCCUUUUAUUUAUCAUGUCCCCGAGAAAAUGCUGCAGCGAUGCAAGCUGUCAAGUAUAUGAAUCUUUCAUGCAGAAGAUACUUAAAUAUCAUAGCUAAGACGAACUUAGUAAGAAGAAAUAAUCUGAGCAGUGUCGUCUCAUACAAGUGAAUGAGGACAACAAGACUAAAGUGGCUGGGAUGAUUUCAUAGGAGGAGCCAAACAACUACAUGAGCCUAUUUCAGCAUGACUUGAACAGGUAAGCUCUUCCAGCUGGAUCUACUAGAUUAGUCUACACAGUAAACAGAACUCUAAUCCAUUAGAAAAUUUGGCUGCCAGUACUACAAGACAAAACAACCAGACUAUGCUUUGUCUUUCAGAUUCACUCUGAACUCUGAAAACAAGGCCAGAUAAUAAGAAUGCUCCUGAAACAUCUCUCUCACCCGCCACCGGUCCGAAACCCCCUGGACCUCAGUAUGCGUGCACAGAUCAUAUGCUCACGUGCUAACUGAAGAUUAGCGGAUGAGGAAGUUCUCUGUUUCUCUUUGCAGGGUAGGAUGGUGGCAAGAGGAUGGGCCUGAAAUUCGACCGGGUUAAGUAUUGGCUGUCUGUUGGGGGACAACCAUCAGAUCCUUGGUCUACUAGGUUAUCUUUGGCUGUCCAUUGGGGGAUAACUGCAUUAACGUCAUGCACGCACACUUCUGUUUUGUAAAUAUACUUCAUGAAGGUUAUCUUUUGUCUAAUCGGUUAAUUUUUAUCAGUCCCUUACCUUUUCUUUUAUCAUUGGAUUUCUUUUUCGCCUUUUUUUUGCCGCCUCCCCCCUUGGUUGUUAGUUUUAUCUCUAUCGCAUUUCCCACAUUUCUUCUUCAAGUUUCAAAUUAUUCUUGCUUUCUUUUAUGUUUUUUGGUUCGACUUCAUUUUCGGUGUAGUCCUCUUUUCUCCAUUAUCCUCCUUGGUUUCAUAUCAGUCCUCACUUUUUAUCAGUUUGUUCCUAUUUUUUCUUCUGAAUUUUGAUUUCUUCUUUGCUUUCUUUACUUUUUUUACUAUGAUUAUGUCCUCUCAUUUAUUUCCCUCUUCUUUCUGGUGGGACUUUGUAUAAUCUACAGAUAUCACUUUACAAGCCAGAUAAAUAUCACUUCGGAAUUUGGUUGCCAGUGGAGCUACCAAAUAUGAAUCAACGAUUAAGGAGAAAGCAAUGGCAACAGAAGCCACUUUUGUCUAACAAAAACCACUUCUGUAUAACCAAAAUGAAUAGCUGGUUGUAUAUAAGUUAUGGUACUCAAAUAAUGAUUUCGUAUACUCUCUAAGCUUGAUAGAAAGUGUUUGACAUAAUGAUUUCAUAUACUCUCUAACAUAUUUGGUACACUUGGUUUAAUGCUUUAUUUAUAGUUUCAUGUGAUUUAACCUAA
Lolium rigidum is the source of this 4143-nucleotide long non-coding RNA. RefSeq lists it as uncharacterized. The record is from RefSeq and is a predicted model, not a curated record. Lineage: Eukaryota; Viridiplantae; Streptophyta; Magnoliopsida; Poales; Poaceae. The transcript has 9 exons.